This 401-nucleotide ribosomal RNA is filed under the name Macrobrachium sp. MLP123_2. RNAcentral describes it as "partial 16S ribosomal RNA". It matches the Rfam family "Bacterial large subunit ribosomal RNA", at positions 1932 to 2544 of the family's 2925-position model. Lineage: Eukaryota; Metazoa; Arthropoda; Malacostraca; Decapoda; Palaemonidae. The record is from RNAcentral.
CGCGGUAAUUUGACCGUGCGAAGGUAGCAUAAUCAGUAGUCUCUUAAUUGGGGGCUUGAAUGAAAGGUUGGACGAAAGACAAACUGUCUUCUUUACGUGGUUUGAAUUUAACUUUUGAGUGAAAAGGCUCAAAUUGUAUAGUGGGACGAUAAGACCCUGUAAAACUUUAUAUAAAUUUAAUUUAGUUUUGAUGUAGGUAUAAGAAUGUUUUAGUAGAUUUAUAUUUCGUUGGGGAGAUGUGAAUAUAAUUUGUAACUGUUUGUUUAAUUUAAUAAUUGUAAUUAGUUUUCGAUCCUUCUUUGAGGAUUAAAAGAAUAAGUUACUUUAGGGAUAACAGCGUAAUUUUCUUUGAGAGUUCUUAUCGACAAGAGUAGUUGCGACCUCGAUGUUGAAUUAAAAUU